Molecule: ribosomal RNA, 205 nt
Filed under: uncultured bacterium
Lineage: Bacteria
Description: partial 16S ribosomal RNA
Rfam family: Bacterial small subunit ribosomal RNA
Source: RNAcentral
UGCGUAGGCGGAUAAUUAAGUGAGGUGUGAAAUACCCGAGCUCAACUUGGGUGCUGCAUUUCAAACUGGUUAUCUAGAGUGCAGGAGAGGAAAGUGGAAUUCCAGUGUAGCGGUGAAAUGCGUAGAGAUUAGGAAGAACACCAGUGGCGAAGGCGACUUUCUGGACUGUAACUGACGCUGAGGCACGAAAGCGUGGGAGCGAACA